UGGGGAUGGGCUAUGUGGUGGCCAGCUGCCACCAUCAUUGGCAGGUUCUUGGCAACGGCAGGGGAACUGACGAUCGUUGCAUGGGUGACCAU
This 92-nucleotide transfer RNA is filed under the name Arthrobacter sp. NicSoilB11. RNAcentral describes it as "tRNA-Asp". The record is from RNAcentral. Lineage: Bacteria; Bacillati; Actinomycetota; Actinomycetes; Micrococcales; Micrococcaceae. RNAcentral also lists the same sequence under 2 other names.